RNAcentral lists this ribosomal RNA (253 nucleotides) under uncultured bacterium. RNAcentral's name for it is "partial 16S ribosomal RNA". It matches the Rfam family "Bacterial small subunit ribosomal RNA", at positions 524 to 776 of the family's 1533-position model. The record is from RNAcentral.
UACGGGGGGAGCAAGCGUUGUUCGGAUUUACUGGGCGUAAAGUGCGCGUAGGCGGCGCAACAAGUCACUUGUGAAAUCUCCGGGCUUAACCCGGAGCGGUCAAGUGAUACUGUCGUGCUAGAGUGCGGAAGGGGCUACUGGAAUUCUCGGUGUAGCGGUGAAAUGCGUAGAUAUCGAGAGGAACACCUGCGGCGAAGGCGGGUAGCUGGGCCGACACUGACGCUGAUGCGCGAAAGCCAGGGGAGCGAACGGG